CCGCCGGGCCGUGAGGAGCGGGCCCCCUCGCUCCGUCCCCGCUUCAGCAGGUGCGGGCACGUCCGGCACAGAGGGCCGAGGAGGAUGGAUCCGUUUAAUUUUUUAUGUCACGCAAGAAUUAGACACGGAGUUGUCAGAUCAGCUCAGCUGCCGGACGCGUGUAAAUCCUGAUGCCAUUUAAAACCUCGUUCUUUUGUCAGAAUGGAGGAGAAUAUCAGCUUGAAGUUCCCGGGCCCAGGCUUUGCUGACUCCUCUGUGCUGAUGUAGACUGGCUGUGAACGCACCUUUAGUAAAACGCUGUUCGUGGUUAUAUUUCUGUUGAUCCAGAUUCAGCGAUGACCCAGUGAAUGCAGCAGAAAUGUGUUUCUGUGAGCCAAGUAUCAAGACAUCAGGGAGUGGGAAUGGUCGUGAUAACUGGCUUGGUGUUAUGUUGGCUCACUCCUACAGUGUUUGUGUAAAUUGGCCCCGAAACAAGGAGAAAAUAAACAAUUUUACCACUCCAUUUGUUCUGCUGUUGGUGGUGCUGCAGCGCUGUUUGUACUUAGUUUCAAAGGACAGUAUGGCUAUGGGAAAAUAGAUUUGAAACAGGAAGCACAAUAUACAAGGGACAUCAAGAAAUAAACAAGAAAGCACCAGCCUCAGAACAUGUUCAAAGAAGUAGGUUGAUGGACCUCAGCAGAGAGACAGCUCAGGGCAGCAUCACCCGCACAGAAAUUUGGAAAGGGAACACUUCAGUACUGAAGAUAAAGCUGGAGGGCAACCAUCACUGCAUGAACCCUAAAGCAUCUUUUUGAGAGCCUGGAGUUUGAUAUCCACUAAUACCUAGAAACUGAGGAUCCACUGCCCUGUCUGCACUGCUCAGGUUUAUAAUAAAGAUGGUCCCAUCCCCAGAGAACUAGUGCUGUUAGUGGUCAUGGAAUAGCCAAGAGACUGGCAUAUUAAGUGAAAGUAAAGAUUUAUAAUCUGG
Cyanistes caeruleus (blue tit) is the source of this 967-nucleotide long non-coding RNA. RefSeq lists it as uncharacterized. The record is from RefSeq and is a predicted model, not a curated record. Lineage: Eukaryota; Metazoa; Chordata; Aves; Passeriformes; Paridae.